Molecule: non-coding RNA, 271 nt
Filed under: Gossypium hirsutum (cotton)
Lineage: Eukaryota; Viridiplantae; Streptophyta; Magnoliopsida; Malvales; Malvaceae
Description: Bacterial small subunit ribosomal RNA
Rfam family: Bacterial small subunit ribosomal RNA
Source: Rfam by way of RNAcentral
UAUACAUGUACAAAUUUCUUGUAGCUUUAUGCUUGAAAGGGUGAAAGAAAUAGCUUGGAAGUGACCAUUUUCUAGUCCACAUGGGUGUGUGUCUCAGUCGUGUGUGGCUAAGGAGAAAAAGGAGGAAUCCGCCCGAGGAGGUGCUCGCGUCUGGUUAGCUAGUUGGUGAGGCAAUAGCUUACCAAGGCGAUGAUCAGUAGCUGGUCUGAGAGGAUGAUCAGCCACACUGGGACUGAGACACGGCCCAGACUCCUACGGGAGGCAGCAGUUG